Molecule: long non-coding RNA, 20390 nt
Organism: Cavia porcellus (domestic guinea pig)
Lineage: Eukaryota; Metazoa; Chordata; Mammalia; Rodentia; Caviidae
Exons: 2
Source: RefSeq, a predicted model, not a curated record
UCUCAAAAAGUUAAUUUUUUAUCUUCUGGGCCUUUUUUUAAUAAUUUUGUUUCUUAAAAUACAUUAAUAGUACUGUUUUAUUGCACAAAUAUGUUUUUUCAUUAAAUCUUUAAAAUUAUAUUGUGCUUAUAUAAAUAUUUGUCAUUUUUUUUCUGAUAAUCUGAAAAAUUUGUGAUUAGUGAGGAGCAAGCAUGGUGAUGAAAACCUAUGGUCUUAGUACUUGAGAGGCUAAGGUAGACAGAGAAUUCAAGACCAGCCUAGGAAACAUAGUGAGAUGGGGGUGUGUGGGGGGGGUUAAUGAUUAGUGAAAUGUAAUUUUGAUACUGAAAGAUGGCACAUAUCUAGCAUCUAGUUAAUGCUCUUUAUUGAAUGAAGAGCAUUUUUUUUUUUUUUUUUUUUUUGAGAUGAGAACUCACUAUGUAGCAUAGGCUGGUCUACAAUUUGAGGCAGUCCUGCCUGUGCCUCUCAAGGACUGAGAUUGUAAGCAUGCACCACAAAGCCCAGGUUAAUGUUGUCUUAAAGUUGGAUAACUUUUUGUUAUAUGUUUUGGAACUUUUUUUUUUGGGGGGGGGGUCUUUUUCCUUUUUUAUCGGUACCGGGGAUCGAACUCACGACUGCCUGCUUGCAAGGCAGGUGCUUAUGCUACUGAGCGAAACCCCCAACCCCUGGAACUUUUUAAACUGGUCACCAAGUAUUCUAUGAAAAUGACAAAAUAGCAACUAUUAGUGACAAUAUGGAGAAAUUGAAGCUUUUGUUUUUCUUAACGGGAGUGUAAAAUGGUACAGCAUGUUUGGAAAAUAGUUUGGUAGUAUCCUCAAAAGUUAAACAUAAAUUUGGUAUGUGAUCUGCUCCUGGGUACAUAUAGAUGGUGCUCAAUUUGUGAUGGUUCAACUUAAUGAUUUUUCACCUUCACAUAGGUAGGAAAAAGUACCCAUAAAACCAUCUAGCUUUUCAUUUUCAGUACAAUAUUACUGAAUUAUCUGUGAUGCACAAUAAACUAUUAUAAAAUUGUCUGUGAUUUUGCACAGCUAUAGGUUAAUCUAAGUGUUCCAAGCAUUGAAAAGCUAGGCUAAGCUGAUCUAUGAAGUUCAAUUGGUUCAACGUGUUAAAAACCUACAUUUAAAGUGAGAAUAAUUAGGUUAGAUCUUUAGAAAGUAGGACUGUGAAAAUGUUUUGGACAUAUUUAAAAAUCAUGCAUAUUUUUACGUUUUUAUUCUUUCAAUAAGUCUUUGUCCUCUGGAGUAAAACUAGUAUUUCUAAGUAAAAAUAUUAUGUUGUUUGUUAUUUUUAACUGAAAUUAUAAGAAAAAAUUUAAGGUCUUAGCAGAGUCACACAUUGAACAGUAUUCACAGUUUGCUUUGCUCUUAGGCAACAGCUUUCAUUUUAAGUUGAUCAUUUGUCCUCAAUAUAGAAUAUAUGUAUAUAUCCACAUAUAGAUACAAGCAUAAGAAUGAUGAAAUAUGCAGAAUAGAUCUGAAGUACCUGUAGCUAUCAUAUAAGUACAAUACAUUUAUUGCCAUUCAUUGAAAUAAACAGACUUUUAAAUCAGUAGUCAUUCUCAGGUGUGUACAUAGUGAGUUGAUAUGGUUCGUUAUUUUGGAAUUGAUGUGCAAAUUUGUCUGACUUGGAUUAAUGUAUAGUUGUUAUAGCUUAGUAUUAGAAUGCCCCAGGAGUCUCAUGUGUUUAGAGGUGGGUUUAGUAAUUGGAUCAUGGAGCAGGGGGUCUGUGUUUAUCAGUGAAUUGAUCCAUUUAUUGAGUUCAUAACAAAAUAUGUUGUUUAGGGGAUGGGGCAGAUUAUAAGAGGUAUGUCUUUAGGAAUUGCCUCUGUGGCAUUAUUUUCUUCUUCCCUUUUCUCUCUGUUCUUGGCUUCCAUGGGUUGAGCAGCAUUCCUUCACCAACUCCUUCUACUAUGCUGUGUCUGCCUUGGGGCCAGAUUACCAUGAACUGAAUACCCUAAAACUGGAGCUUCAAACGAGUCUGUUCAUCAAGAACCUUUUGAACUAGAUAAAGAAUACAACAACCAAGAAUCAACCCAAGUCAUUCCAGAAAUCUCUAACGUACUAGCUGGCUAAAGAAGUGGUAGAACUGUUGAAGAGCGGAACACACUAUGCUUGUUGGUAUUAGUAUGUACAUAACACAUACUAAUUCUUUUUAUUGCCUUCCCUACCUCUCCAUUCUUCCCACUUUGUCCAUCUUUUUGUCUUUCUCUUUGUCUGACUCUUCCAUGGGCAAAAGAUCUGUCUCCCUAGUUUUAUUUUGCUCUGUAUUUAUAUUUUGGGUUUCUCACACACAUGAAACCAUGUAAUAUUUAAGUUAUUUAAUCUGAUUUAUGUCAUUGAAAAUUAUUGUGUCAAGGUAUAUUCAUUUUCUUAAAGUGACUUAUUGAUAGACCUAUAGGCCACUUCUAGCAGCAGUAAAUUGUGCUGCUAUAAACAUAGGUGUGCAUGUAUCAUUCUAAUAUCAUGUCUUUACCACUUUUGAGAAGAUACCUAGAAAGGGAAGGCUGGGUCAAAUGGAGUUUCUAGUUUUAGUUUGUGAGACAUCGCUUUACUGAUAUCCAUAGUGAUUGCACUAGUAUACAUUCGCACAACAGUGUAGAAAUCCCCCAGCACCCUCACCAGCAUUUGUUAUUCUUUUGAUUUCUUAAUGAUGCCAUUCUUUGUGCAAUAAGAUGGAAUCUUAGUGUUGUUUUAAUUUUCAUUCUCUAAUGGCCAGAGAUGUUUUUUACAUGUAUUUUUUUGGCCAUUUGUAUGGCCAAAAAUGUAUGAAAAAUGUUGGCUCAAUUAAGUUGCUCAUUGGGUUUUUUAUUUGGAAAUGGGAGUGUGUGCUAAUUUUUUUUUGAGUUAUUUUUACAUUCCCAAUAUUAGUUCUCUGUAUGAGAAACAGCCGGCAAAGUUUUUUCUCACCCUGUAGGUUACUUCUUUUGUUGUUGGUUUUUUCCUUUGCCAUGCAGAAGCUUUUUAAUUUAGUAUGAUUCCAUUUGUUGAUUUUUAGUAUUAUUUAUUGUGAAAUCAGUCUUCUGUUCAGAAAGUUAUUACUCAUACCUAUGUCUUUUUAUCUUCCAACAGAUUAAGUAUUUGUGUUUUGACAUUGGUUCUUUUAUUUAUUUUGAUUUUAAUUUACUGAAUGGUGAAUGAUGAAGUUCUAGAUUGAAUCUUCUGCAUGUGAAUAGCUAGUUUUCCUAGCAACAUUUGUUAAAGAUACUAUCUUUCUUUCAGCAUAAGUUUUUGGCUGCUUGGUCAAAGAUAAGGUAACUAAAUGUACCUGUAGUUGUAUUGCUCCUGUGAUGGUGAACCUUUGAGAGCUUUCAAAACAGACAACUGGCUGUAGCAUGCAUACUAUAGGUUCAUUACUAUUGUUCAGAUGAUCUAUAUGUCUUUUUAUACUAACACCAUGCUGUUUUUAUCACUGUAGCUUUGUAGUAUACCUUGAAAUUCUUUUAAGUGUUUAGAAACAAAUUUUAAAUGACAAAGUUGUUUGGAAGAGUUAGUAAAGAUUUUUUCAACUUAAAAAAAUUUUUUUAGAAGAAAAUUUAUUUAUUUCCAUUCCUUCUUAGACUUAGGAGCAAGUGUUUAUUUUUGGGAUAAAUUGAUCACAAAUUAAAAUCUGUUAAAAGACUUCAAUUGUUGUUUCUCAUUUUGCUGUGUAAUUAAAUCAUACUAUAAAAAUUUCUACUUGAUGUUUGUAUAUUUAUGACUAUAUAACUGCAGUUCAUAAACAUUAUAUUAUGGCAUUAUUCUUUUUUGUGAUUUCUGAAACUAAUAAUUGUCUCAGUUUUUACUAUUGCUAUUAAUUUUCUGUGUACUUAUCAGUAAUUUAUUUUCAAAUUGUAUCUUCUCAUACUCUCUGAGGACCUUUAAGUACUUUAAGUCCAAACACUAGUUAUCAAUUUGUUCUUUUUAUUGAUUUAAUUCUCUUUUAAGCCCCUUAUCUUCCUUUAACAUGAAAUUGCAGUUUGGGAGUCUUAUGCAACUAUCAUCUUCAGACUUCCCUUCAACACAUUCCUGAGAAUUUACUUUUUUCUCUUCAGUAAGUGAUCUCAGUCUCCUGGAUUAUGUGUUUGGCUUUCUUGUUUUACCUCUUUAUUUGGAUGGAUCAUAUCUCCUGGUUUUCGGACACUAGUGUUUCCAGACUUUGGGUGUAUAACCAUGUUUCUAUUUCACUUUUAACCUUGAUUAAUUCUGAAGUUCUAGAUUGGAAAUAAUGUUCCCUUAAAGUUUUGAAAGGCGUUGCUGCAUUUUAUUGCUCAGCAGUAAUAUUCAUGUGAAUGCAGAUGCUAUUCUGAUUUCCAAUACUUUGAAAAUUUGUAUCUUCACAUCCUCUGCUGUUUAAAAUUUUCAUGGUGGUAUGCCUUGGUAUAGAUGUUUUUAUAAUUUUUAAAAAAAAUUUUUUUUAUUUUAAAGACAUUAAGACAAAAGAGGACAUAACAAAGCAGAUCAGAAAGAACAAUUUAAGCAACACAAUAUUUCACCACAAGAUAACCUGAUAUAAUUUAACUACCAGAAUGUCUCUUUCUUUGAAAUAGUUGAGCAUACCUCCAUAUACAAUAGUAUCAAAUACAACAAAAUAGUAUAAAACCAUUCAAGAGAAUGAAAGUAUUACAGGGCAUUUGGAACCAAAUAACAGACAAUGAACAAUGGCUACUUUAUUAUCUCUUUGUCCAUAAAAAAUUGUUUAUACUAUCACAGAUAAUAAAAUCCAAUAAGAUACAGCAUGAUAGAACCAAUGGAAACAAAAGAACAAAAGCAUGGUAGAACUUCAGAGCAAGAUGAUAUUAAAUCAGCACUGGCUGUUAUAAUGUCUUGUUUUCCUCAAAAUUCUUUUGCAUUUAUUUAAAUAUGUUCUGUGGGCUACUAUUUGGUCUAUUUUAGAGAAUGUGCCAUGUACUGCUGAAAAGAAUGUAUAUUCUGAUGUUGUUGGAUGGCACACUCUGUAUAUUUCUACCAAGUCCACUUGUUCACAUAUGUGAUUCAGUUCUGUUAUUUCUUCGCUGAUUUUCUGUCUGGUUGAUCUGUCCCUUGGUGUCAAUGAUGUGUUAAGGUCUUCUGUUAUAAUUGUGUUAUUGCUUAUUUGAUUUUUCAUUUCUGUUAAUACUUGCUUUGUAUAACUGGGUGCUCCCAAAUUGGUGCAUAUAUAUUUAAGAUUGUUAUCUCUUCCUCUUGAAGUUUUCCCCUAACCAGUAUGUAAUGACCUUCUUUAUCUCUUAGGAUCAUUCUUGGUUUGAAGUUCACAUUGUCUGCAAACAGAAUAGCUACCCCUGCUUUUUGGGGGGUUCCUGUUGCAUGAAGUAUUGUUUUCCAUCUUUCGACUUUCAGUCUGUGAGUUUCUUUCUGGGUUAUAUAGGUUUCUUGUAGACAACAUAUGGUUGAAUAUUGUUUCUUGAUCCAUUCUGCCAGUCUUAUUAUUUUAAUUGUGAAUUGAGACCAUUUACAUUGAUGGUUAUAACUGUUAUAUAUUGGUUCAUUGUUGACAUGUUAUCUUUCUGCUGUUUCAUCUUUAUCUUUCCAUUCUUUUUAAUUGUCUGCCUUGUUCAGUGGCUUUUUCUAAGUGUAUCUAAACUGUCUUUCAGUAUUCUUUGCAGGGUUGGUUUGGUGAUCAUGACGUUCUUCCACUGUUCUCUGUCAUGGAAAUAUCUUAUUUUUCCAUCCAUUUUGAAGGACAGUUUUCAGGAUACAUCAGUCUAGGUUGGAAAUCAUUUUCCUUUAGGAUCUGAAAUAUUUCACUCCAUGCUCUUCUUGACUUCAUUGUUUGUGCUGAGAAGUCUGCUGUGAUUUUGAUAGGUUUUCCUUUAUAGGUAUUCUAUCUUUUGUCUCUAACCGCUUUUAAUAUUGUAUUCUUUUGUUGGGUAACUGGGAAGGUGAUUAUUAUAUGUCUGGGUGUAGUUUUAUUUUGGUUAUGGCUAUUUGGAGUUAUAUAUGCUUCACUAACCCUAAUGUCAGUUUCCAUUCUUAUGUUUGGAAAAUUUCCAGCCAUUACUUCUGUAAAUAGCGUCUUGGUAUCAUUUGUGUUAUCCCUUCUUUUUCAUUUAUUCCUAUCAAUCUUAUGUUGUUUUUCUUUGCAUCAUCUUGCAGCUGUUGAAUUGUUAUUUCCCGAUUCUUUGUUAUUUUUAAAAGAUCUUUCCUGUUUACUAGCUGCAAUCUUGUCUUUGAGGUCUGAAAUUCUAUGUUCACUUUCAUUGAGGUGGUUUUGACAACUUUCAAUGAAAUUUUUGAUUUCCUGUGUAUCUCUCUGAAUCUGCUUCAUGUAUUGUUUGUUUCUUGUAUUGUUCAUCCAGUGAUUGUAUCUUUUUGUUUUGUUAUUGUAAUUUUUUAACUGUGUCUUCUUAGAUGUGGUUAGCAUCUCUUUUAUUACUUUUAUCAUUUCUUCUUUUACCUGGGAGAUUAUUUCUAAUUUGAGUUCCUUUAAAGUUUCCCGGAGUUGCUUCUUUAUUUCAGUUGCUAUUAUUUCAGGUGUAUGGCAUGUAUUUUUUUUUCUAUGUACAUGGCUCCUAGUCUUUCUUGGAAUGGGCUGGAGGUUUGAAAUUGCAUUUUGGUCUUUUGUUUUGUCACUUUCCUAUAUUACCAUGUUUCAAGUGAUGUUCCAAAGCUUCCUCUGGGCAUGUUGGAAAUCCUCUCCUAUUCCCUCAGCUCCUGGGACUGAAUGGAGGUUGCUGAGUGUGGUCCAGUCCAGCUCAUAGGACCUCCCAUGCCACCUCCAGUGUGUCAGGAGGCUGUUUGAGCAUUUAACUCACUGUGAAUGAUGGUCCAAAGGUCUCCCUGGGCAAGCACCAAUAUGCUGGAACUCACUUCAUGUGCCCUCAACUCCCCUGAUUAAAAAAGUCUCUGGACAUGGUCUUUUCAGGCUGCAAAACCUCCCAAGCCUAGUCUAGUGUGCCUGGAAGCUUGGCGGGUCCUUGACAACUGUGAACGAUGAUCUUAAACUCUCCAGGGAUCUGAGCUGAUUUGCAGGAACUCACCUCUGGUAGCCCUGUUCCCUGGAUUGAAGGAACGUCACUGAGCAUGGCCCAGCAGUCUGGAAACCUGCAGAGCCCAGUCUAGUGUGGCUGGAAGUUGGGCAGGUCCUUAACCCUGGGAGUGAUGAUCUUAAACUGUCCUGGGGCCCCCUGCCGCAGGUGUGCAGGAACUCAUCUCUGGCAGCCCAGGUCCCUGGAUUGAAAGAAGGUCACUGGGUGUGGCCCAGGCAAUCUGGAAACCUACAGAGCCCAGUCUAGUGUGACUGGAAGCUGGGUAGGUUCUAACCGCUGGGAGCGAUGAUCUGAAACUCUCUGCCGCUGCCGCCCCCCCCCCCACCCGGGUGCAGCAACUCACCUCCAGCAACCCAGUUUCCCAUAUUGAAUUAAGGUCACUGGUUGUUUUUAUAAUUCAUUAUAUGGAGUGUCUUCAAUCUAGAAAUACUGUUCAGUUCUGUUAUUUUUUUCUGUUUCUGAGUAAUUUUCAUUUUUCUUGUGAAAUGCCUUUGUUUGUUGGAAUUUUUAGAUUAAUCUUUUAGUGAUCUUUUUUUGAGUGGGUUCUCUUUUUUUAUUUUUUGUCCAUUUUAGGAAAUCUCCUGGUUUCAUCUUCUAACUUUUUUAUAUUUUUCUGUGUCAAGUAUUUAAUUUCCAAGAUACCCUUCUCUUCCUUAUGAUUGUGAAAUUUUCGUGAUAAUUUUGAAUUUUCUUUUGCUGUUGCUUUGUUCCUUCUUCCUUACGUUGGUUAUUGAUUUCUGACUUUUUCCUUUGUGAACUGUCUUCGUAUGUCUAGUGAUUAUAUUUGAGAGAAACACUAAAAUUGUCCUCUUAAAGUUAUGUUGGUAAGAGCAGAACCAGUCAACUAACAGAUUUCACUGGAAAAGAUGGUAGGGCACAUUUCCCUAGGGAAAGAAUUUGCUAGCUUUUUAUAGCUGUUGCUGCUUUUUUUUUUUUUUUUUUUUUUGCAUGCUUAAGUAUUAGAUGUUUUUUGCUCUGCUGAGUUAGUUACUACUUAAUUAACUUUUUUUUCUAAAUUUCACAUUUUUUUACUUCUACUGUUUGUUGUUGUCUCUCCUCCAUGCUGCUUGUCUUUAUAGGUUUAUCCUUCUGUUUGUCUUUAUUCUAGGUUUUAAAACAUUUUUAGGAAAAAUAGGGCUCAACUCAUGAAUUCUAUUUUCCUUUUUAAUAAAAGUGUUUACCUUUGAGUUUUACAUAUUGACUUGGUAAAAGGAUGAGUCUUGGUAUGAUCUAUUUAUAAAAAUUUAUGAAAUACUCCAUAUAUUUUGGGAAUUUAAAAAGUCCUUCAGUAUCGACCAAUUAUCAGUAUUCAAAAAAAUAUAGUUUAAUUUAUUCUGUCAAAUUGUAAAUGAAAGCAAUCCAAGCAGUGAAGGAAAGACUUCUGAAAGGUAUCAUAAGAAAUCAGUGCAACUAAGACAGUUUAUACCAGAAGGAUAGUUAAUAAAAACAUAAGUAAAGAAUAUUGCUCUUUCAUGUCAGUGGGUCCUUUUAUGAAAUAAUUUUCUAGAUGAUAGAGCAAAUGUAUAGCCUGCGGAUGCCACCCUUCUCAGUCUAACAUGAGAACAGUUUUAAAGUGAAGCCACUCAUAUCUCCUUGAGUCUAUGCUUGUUUGCCUUGCCAGCUCUGUCUGUGAAGGCAGGGUUGCAACUUCUUUCAUUUGGAACUCAUUUUGGUUACUUUGAAACUUGCUGCUCCUUUUUUUUGGGGGGGGGGUGUCUAAUUUGGGGAAUUUUAUUAUAGCUGUUUUGACUCUAGACCUUGAAUUAGUCCUUAUCUAGUAAUUGUGCUAACAUGCCAAAGAACAUGUUUGACAUUGGACCAUUGAAAAAUUUUAUGAAGCUAAGUUUUGAGACAAUUAAUAUCAUAUUCUUUCCCUGAUCUCAAAAUUCCAGAACUGUGAAAUUUACCAUUGAGUUGCUAUAUUAUAAGAGAAACUGUAUUUACCUUUGAUAUCCACUAUUAAUCCUUGGGCUAGUUGUGGCUCCUGCUUUUCCAUUAAGCAAAAUCUUUUAGAAAAUUCAUGAGUUAUACCAACAUCAACUUAACAUUUUUCCAAAUUUAAUUUUCUGCUGUACUACAGUUGGAGGAAAAUUAGUGGCCUAAAAUUAAAUUGAUGCUUCCAUCAACCUUUAGUAUAACUUUAAAAAAGUAAAUAGUAUACGAUAACCAUUUCAAAAUAUUAUUUUAAAGUGUUAGUGCCGUACACCUGUGCCCUUAGUAACAUUAAUAAACGUUUUAUUUUAAAAUUCUGAAAAGUAUAGAACAUUAUUACAAAUAUCGCUUUUUGAUUUUGGUUUUUAUACUUGUUACAGAAAAGUCUUGUCUGGAGAAUAUAUUUUGACAAAUUGACAUGUUGUGAUAGGUGCUAGGAUAAUUGUAUAAGUUUUUAAAGUUAAAAUUGCAAGCAGAUUUCUGCAGCAGAUUAAUCCCAAUAUAAAAAGAUUUGUGUGAAUUUCAGCAUUGAUAAGUAUGACAUAUAUUUUAUUUGGACAUUUCUCAGCAGUGAUACAAAUUUGAUGCUAGGUAAACUGUAUUAAAUGGUAAGAAAGUAUAUUAUAUUGGAUAUUAAUGGGAGACAUUUCUAAAUCUUUUGUGUGAGUUUAUUAAAUGAUAUACCUAUACUUGUUCAUGUUUACUGUACAUAUCUGGCUGAAUUGAAUAAUGACAGGGAUUUUACUAACAGUUCUUUUUUUUUAAAUUUUAUUUAAGGAGAAAAGAAAAAAAAAGCAGAGAAAGGGUACAAGUUAUACAGAUUUACAGAAAAAAAAUAAACAGUAGGAAAUCACUAGUUAAUGGAUUACAUAUUAUCAUCUUAGAAAUAAUUGUUCAAGUCACAAAAUUAAAGCUUGUAAAGUGGACAUUCCAGCAAUGAUACUGCAAACAGUUCUGUUCAAUGAUCCAAUAAAACUCUGUGAUAUCAUUUCCUAUCUUAUGCACUUAAAUAUACAUGCAGUUAUAUAGUUUAGAGCACUUUCUUUUCCUCUGUUUUGUACAAUGACUAUUACACAUUUUGGGUUUCAUUGCUCCCACAGUUCUUAUUACUUUUUUGGAAGAGAGUAAAACCAAAUGUGACAUAACAGAACAGAAUCGGUCAAGUCAAAAGGGUGGACAUAAUAGAUAAUGUAAAAACAUAAUACAAGGUGAUCAACAAUGGUUACCAUAAUGCCUCCCGCUAUCUCUAAUAGAAUUGCCUAUAUCAUUAGUUAUAAUACAAUUGAACAAAACACUAAAGAAUAAAACCGACAAAACCAAAACCUUGGAGACAUUGUAGGUCUUCAAAAGUAGAUAAAAGUCAACGAGAAUGGGCGUUAUAAUGAAUCUCAUUAUCUUCACAGCUGAUGCCUAAACGUUCGAACCUGGUACUAUCCAGCAAAACAGAAUAGGGGAACAUCAGUCAAAAACAAGAUGGUGAGAGUAAUACAGGGCUUUAAAUCGAGAUAAUGGAAAGUCAAAGUGGGUUACUAUAAUAUAACCUGCUAUUUUUUUCCUUUAAUUAAAAGGAUAAAAAUAAAAAAGUAAAUAAUGGAGUGGAGAUUGAGAUAAAAGAGGGCAUAACAGCGAAACAGUGCAGAUCAAAACAUAACCAUUUAAGCAGAAUAGUGUUUCACCACCAGAUAAUCCUGACCUAAAAGUAGUCACCAUAUUGUCUCUUUCCUUGAAAUCCUUGAGUACAACUUCGUAUACUGUAGCAUUAAGUAUAUCAAAACAAUGUAAAACCAUUUAAGAGAAUGACAGCAUUACAGAGUAUUUAGAAUCGACUAACAGAAAAUGAACAAUGGUUUCUGUAUAAUCUCCUUGUCUUUAAAAAGUUUUUGCUUAUACUAUCGUCCAUAAUAAAAUCCAAUAAGAUACAACCUAUUUAGACCAUUGGAGACAGAAGAACAAAAGCUAGAUGAGACUUCAAAACAAGAUGAUACUAAAUCAGUAUUACCUAUUAAGAUGUCAUUUUCUCCAAAAUAGAUGUUCCUAUCAUCCAAUCUUCUCUGCCUCAUUUCUGUUGAGCUCUUUUUCUGUCAGUAGCUGUCAGUUUGUCUUCUUCAUUUUGUUCUCUGCUCCAUUCGUUGUGGCCUCCCCGCCACUAUUUCUGGAUUCUUUGUAUUUUUCUUUUUUUAGAAUAUCCUGCAAUACUCUCUGUAGAGUUGAAUUGGUGGUUGCAAAUUCCCCCAGUUCCUCUUUAUCCUGGAAGCACCUUGUUUUUCCAUCAAUUUCCAGGGACAGUUGUGCAGGAUAUCUCAAUCUUGGCUGGAGAUUAUUAUCUUUCAAAGCUUGAAUUAUUUCCUCCGACGCUCUUUGUGAUUUGAUGGUUUGUGAAGAGAAAUCUGCUGUAAUUCUGAUGGGUGUUCCCUUGUAAGUGGUCUGUUUCUUGUCUCUGACAGCUUUUAAUAUUCUGUUCUUGUACUGAAUUUCUGGAAUUUUUAUUAUUAUAUGCCUGGGUGUUGCUCUGUUUGGGUUGUAGGUAGCUGGGGUCCUGUAUGCCUCAUACAUCUGAGUAUCUUUACCUUUGGCUAAAUUAGGAAAAUUCUCCUGGAUUAUUUCUGUGAGUAGCUUUUGUAGUUCACUUGUUUGUGUCCCUACUUCUUCUUUUAUAUUCUUAAUCCUUAAGUUAUGGCUCCUCUUAUCAUCUUCUUGUCUUUGUAUUAUUGCUGUUUGUUUCUUUGUUAUUUUUAAGAAGUUUUUCAUUUCAUUCUCCCAUAUUACAAGUCUGCCCUCCAGUUCAGAUAGUCUGUCCUUAGUUUCUUUCAAGCUGUUAUGCAAGUCUUCGAUAGACUUCUUAGUUUCUUGGUAGUCCCUUUGAACCUGCUUCACGUAUUCUAUGCUUUCUCGGUUUUUUUUUUUUUUUUUAUUUAAGAGGAAAAAGAGAAAAAACACAAAACAAACCAAAGCGGUGUAAGGGUACACGUAAUACAGAACUACAAAAAAACAAAACAAAACAAACAAACAAAAAAAAACAUAACAGUAAGAAAUCACCUGUUAGUAUAUUACAUAUUAUCAUCUUGAAAAUAGUUCCUCAAAUCACAGUAUUAAAGAAUACAAGGUGGACAUUCAAACAGGUAGACUGCAAACAGCUGUGUUCAAUGAUCCAAAAACAUUGAUACAGUCAGCUAUUUAACACCCCUAAACACACUUGCUGUUAUAAUCCCUUAGAGCUCUUUCUUUUUUUUUUUUUUCCCCUCUCUUUUUUACAACAAAAUUCACACACUUUGGAUUUCAUUACUCCUUAGUGCUUAUUACUUUUUUUUUGGGGGGGGGGGAGAAGCUUUCUCGGUUUUCUCCAUCAAACAAUUCUCCCCUCUUUUUCUGUUCUUCCAUUCCACCAUCUGUUUUUUCUUGGGUGGUGCUUAGCAUUUCUCUAACUAUUUUGCAUACUUCUAGCUUCAGGUCAUUGAUAACUUCAUUCCUGAAUUGAUCUAUGAGGCUCUCUAUAUGGCACUUUAUGUCUAUUGGUGCGGUGUCCGCUAUUGCCUGUUUCUCAGAAUUGGGGGCCGAGGAGCCUUUCUUGUUGCUGCCUCUUCCCAUAUUCUCUGUUCCUUAUAUAUGCAAGCUUGUAUAGGAGACCCAGCUUCUCUCCCUGUCAGCCACAGGCUGAUCGAAUUGCGCCGGCUAGGUGUUCCCGCCCACCACAGCGCACCAGGGAGUUACGGACCAGGCAGCCUACGGAGGGCCCGCCCCUCCCGGCCACCGUCAGGCUCUGGGAUCUGGGUUGGGCCAGCCUACCGGGUCUGCCAGCAGUGUCACGCAGGCCAGGCACUUUUCACCAAUCCCGCCCGAGAGGGGUAUGUGUGACUGGAGUCGCCACCGCGCCCUGCUCCCGCAGGACUGCCCAGGUCCAGAAAGUCCUCCGCCGGAGUCAAACUGUGGUAGAGUGUCAGUUUCUCUCACUCACCUCACCACAAGUCAGUGCACGCCUCCAUGCCCAUCCUGUUUUGGACUCUGUUCACAGAUUCCCGUUCUCAGAGCUUCCGCGCGUCUCUCUCCUUGCCGAGCCGCUGUAGAGGCAGUCGCCGCGCGGCGGGAAACCCAAAUCGCGGCUUCCAAUGGCGCGGGGUCCAGCCUCCACACUGAGGCUUUUCUGUUCCUGUUUUAGCACCAGGACUGCAUUCCAAGUUGGUUUCUCUCAGCCCAGUUUGUUCCUGAGUCAGCAGAGCAUAUCUCCACCUGCUUAUGUCUCCUUACUCCGCACCCUUCCUGACUUCUGAACCAAGCCAUUCAGAGAUCCUCCGUAGUAUCUGUUAUCUGUCCGCCAUGUUCUCCCGGCUAACAGUUUGUUCUUUCUGUUCAACACAACUUUUCUUUCUUUCUUUUUUUUUUUUUUUUUUUUUUUGGUUUUUUUGAGACAGAGUCUUGCUAUGCAGUUCAGGCUGCCCUUGAGCUAACUUUGUGACCCAGGCUGGUCUCAAACUCAUAAUGAUCCUCCUACUUCAACCUCUUGAGUGCUGGGAUUAUAGGCAUAAACCACCAGGCCUGGCUACAAUACAACUUUAAAAUACAACAUUUGAUUAUUAUCAAGGAGCAUUUAUAGUGAUAUUGUAAAUAGUUUAAAACAAAUCUAUAUCAAUUAUCCCUGCCAAAUAAGACUUUAAAAUGCAGACUACAGGAUGCUAGUUGAAAAUAUGCACUUAAGUGCAGUGAUUUUUUUUUAAACAUGUACAUACUAAAAUUUACUGUUUUAAAAUUAUCUAUUCUGACAAGAGAUUACAAAAAAUUUAUGAUUAAAUAAUGGGAUGAAGAGUUCUUGUCAGUACAGAAAUUAAAAACAGGAAUCACUAGUGCUCUUUCACUGCAUGUUUGAACCAUUGUUGACUUUUGGAAAACAACAAUAACAGUGUUUACUUUUUACUGGGAAAUUUAGCAUUCAACAAUUAUGAAUUGAAAUCCAGGUAUCAGAAAUUUUGAAAGCUCCCUAGGAUUGUGGUAUAGUUAGAAUGAUACUGAUUGACCUAUGUGUUCUAGGAUAGGGCCCAGACAUGACCAAACACUACUAAAUACUUGCUUAAAUUAAAAAGUGAAGGAUUGCCUCAAUUUUAUUUUUCUUUAAAUUAACUUUUUCUUUUGAAUAGUUUUACAUUUACAGAACAAUUGCAAAAAUAGUAGUUUCCAUAUAUUGUACAUGACAUUCAGUUUUCCCUAUUGUUGAUUUAUUAGUAUGGUACAUUUGUCCUAUUAAAAAACUGGUUUUGAUAGAUUGUAAAGUCCCAAUGCUACACAGAUUUUCUUAGCUUUUACUUAAUGCCCUUUUUCUGUUUCAGAAUUUUCUAGGAUACCACACUACGUUUAGCUGUCAUGCACUCAUAGACUCCUCUUGAUGUCGCAAGUUUUCACAUGGUCUGUUUUUGAUGACCUAGAGAGUUGAACACUGGUUAGAUAUUUUGUAGAAUGUCUCUUAUUUGACAUUUGGCUGGUUGUUGUAGUUGUUAUUUUUCUUACAGUGAGAGUGGGAUUUGUUUGUUUUGGGGGAGAAGACACAGAGAGGAAGUUCAUCCAAUCAUAUUAAAAUAUUUUGUUUGAAAAUGAUUUUUCACUGUUGAUGUUAACCAUGAUCACCUAGCUGAGAUAUUUUUAAAUGGUAACUUUACUGUUUUCAUUUUUCCAUACGGUGUAUAAUCAUAGAGAAAAUCAUAGAAAUCAUAGCCCACACUUAAGUAAUGGCAAAAGAGUAUCAUAAUUUUUUUAGAAUUCUACACAGGAGGUUGUCUGAUUGACUGAUUUAUUAUUUAGUCACUUGUAUCAAUAUAGACUUUUUUCGCCUCAGAUUUUUCAGAUUUGGCCAAUGGUUUAUCUCUUUCAGUUCAUACCUUUGUCUCUGUUUUUGUUUUCUUUUUUUACAUACCUCCUUACUGUAAGAUAUUUAAGGUUCAUCUUGUAUAUUUCCUGCUUUAGAUCUAGAAUUUGGCAUUUAGUUCUUUUACUGGAGUCUUGUAUUAAAAACCAAGAUUGGACCCUAAGUGUACUUGUUGCCUCUGCAUUAGGUUAUUGCCUCUAUUGCUGUCAGUUUAGCAAGGAGACCUAUGUGUUUAUACUAACUUAAUAUGUACAUACACAUGAAUGUGCAUAUGUAUUCAUCUGUAUGUUUAAUAAGCUAAGUAUGACUUCAUACUGAUGUUUCUGACUCUCCUUCCUUACCACCAUAGAUCAUUCUAGCUGUUUCCUUUUGUUUCUUUAUAACCUGAAAAACUCAGCUCCUACCCUAUCAUUUACUGCAUUUUCUUCAGAAUUACUAGCUCAUAUAUCCAUAGGGAACAGCAUUAUUCACUACUUGGGAUUUAUUGUUUGUUUUUGUCUCGAUUUUUAAAAAAAUUCUUUUUAUAUUUUGGAUACAAGAUCCUUCUAAGCAUGUGCUUGGCCAAUAUUUUCUCCCAGUUUAUUUCUUGUCUUUUUCCAGUUUAUGUCUUUUCUUUUAGAACAGAAGAUUUUAGUGUAACUUAUAAGCUACUUUUUUAAUGGGUCAUUCUUCAGGUGUCUGUAAUCAUCGCCAAAUUCAAGAGUAUACAGAUUUUUCUUCUAUGCUUUCUUCUGGAAAUUUGGUUUUGUAUGCUAUAUUAAGGUCUGUGACAUAUUUUGAAUUAGUUUUUGUGAAAACUUUAAAAUGUGUAGCCUGGCCUGACCUCCCCUCCCCUUCUGUUAAUAAAUGUCUAGUUGUUUCAGCACCUUUGUGUAAAAAACCUUUUGCCUGUCCAUAUAAUCAUUUGUAUUAUUUUUGUCAGUAUUUGCUAAUUAGCUUAUUGCAAUUCUAUUGGGGUGGAACUUGUUAGAACAAAAUGCCAUCUUACUGGUAUUUCGUUUUCCAAUCUGUUAACAGGUAAUGGUGCUUAUUUUGUUUAGAUUUUCCUUUAUCAGAUCCUAUGCAUAUUCUUAUAUGUUAGACUAAAGUGUGUAAUUUUUGGUGCUGUUGAAAAACUUUUUUAAAAAUUCUACUCCCAGUUAUUUAUUACUGGCAUAUAUUACAGCAGUUGACUAUUAUAUGUAACCUUUCUAAUUGUUUCUUUACCGUACUCAUGUGUUACUCCCAGGACAUUUUUUGUAAAUUCUUGAAAAUUUUUAUACAAAGGAAUAUCAUCUAAACUAUAGGUCCAUUUCUUCCUGUGUAGUAAUCAUUAAUAUAUUUCUGUAUCUUCACUAUAUUUCUCUUCCUUUCUUCUCUCCUUCCUUUCUUUCUUCAACAGGAUCUCAUUAUGUUGUCCAGGGCGGUCUCAAAAUCCUGGACUCACAUGAUCUUUCAGGUAGCUAGGACUGUGGAGGAGCACCAGUAUGCUCAGCUCUCGAUACGUUUCUGUUUCAGAGGAUGUAUUUUUCUUCUGUUCAUAAAUAUUGGUGUAGAAGAAAGAUAAGAUAUGGUAUUUACCUGCAAGAAGAUUCCAUGCUAGUGAGGCAACAAGUAAAUGGUUGCCAGUCUUGAUUCAACAUAACAAACACUAUGAUUAUCUCAAGACAUACAUAGAGCAAUGAUAGCCAACCUUUUAUAGCUUUCAGUAAUACAACCAGUACCCUGGAGCAUGCAUGCCAUAGGUUUACCGACACUGGCAUGCAGAACAAGAAUCGUUUUAUUGCUUUAUUUUCUAACUUUUCACCUCUCUUCAGAAGACCCCUUUUCUGCUUCAUUCUUCAGUCAACCACAUUGUCCUUUUUACGGCUUUCCCCUUAGGAAAUAUAUUUCUCUUUUGGCCACUGAAUUAUUAAAAAAACUCAACAAAUCAUUCACAACCAAACUUUUUGAUACAACAGUUAAUUAAGCCUUUGUUCUUUCACUUUGCAUACACAGUUGCCAUCUCUUAUAUACCUGAAAUACUCUCCAUCGGCACUGUCUGCAUGGUGACGUUGUGAGUAGGAUGAGAUUUACUUUUUUUUUUAAUUUAAAGAAAGAUUAAACUAAACAGAAAAUAGGUAGAAAUAGUACAUACAUUCAGAGAAAAAAAAGAGUAAGAAAUCACUAGUUGAUGUUGUCGUUUUACAAAUAGUUGUUCAAGGUACAAAAAUGGAACAUGUAAAGUGGGAAUUCAAACAGCGAGACUGCAAACAGUUCUGUUCAACUGUCCAACAAAAACUUGGUAACAUGGUUGUCAAUCCUAUACAUUUAAACAUACAUGCAGUUAUCCAUAUCUUCAUUUAUAUUUAGAUUAAACAAACUAAAGCAGGUUAAAAUCAUUUUGAACAACGAAUAAUAGUAUCGUUGGAUUUCACUUCAUGACACUCCAUGAUCAGCACUGGGUACUAUAGUGUCUUCUUUUUAAAACUGAAUUUAAAGAAAGACUAAAAACAACAGAAAACGGGUAGAAAUAAUACGUAAUUUCAAAGAAAAAUAAACAGUAAGAAAUCACUAGUUGAUGAUUACAGAUUGUCUUCUUACAAAUAGUUAUUUAAGAUACUAAAUUGGAGCAUAUAAAGUGGGGAUUCAAACAGUGAGAUUGCAACCAGUACUGUUCAACUAUCCAACAAAAAUUAGAAAUAUGGUUAUCAGUCCUCUACACUGAAACACCUAUGCAGUUACCCAUAUCCUCAAUUACGUUGAAUUUCAAUAAACCCAAGCAGGCUAAUAUCACUCUGAACAAAAAAAUAACACUAUUGCUGGGUUUCACAUUAUGACACUCCAGGAUCAGCACUGGGUAUUUUAGUGUCUCUUUUUCUUCAAAGCAUCUGUUCAUUUCAUCAAUUGUCAUAAGAUCAGUUCUCAUAACUGUUUAUAAAUUCUACACAUGCAUGGGUCUUAACAUGUAUUUUUUUUUUUAAUUUUGAAAGUAGCAAAUAUGCCACAGUGCAAGACAGAACAAAGCCAAUCGAGACAAUGCAGUGAAAUUGGUACAGGAUUUCACAGUAGGAUACAGGGAUAGUAGUACUAAGUACUAUGGUAUAUCUCUUUAAUUUAACAAUAGCUAUCCAGUCAAUUACAUAUUAUAAAAUCAAACCAAAAACAGAACAUUGUAAAACCAAUUGAGAAUAUUGAGUAGAGCAAAAGAAAUAUAACAAAAAGUAAAAACAACCUAUACCUUCAAACAGAAGAUAGAAAGAAAUCCCCCAUAUUUGCUAUACUGCAUAUGGUCAUCCUCCCAAGAGAUGUUGAAAUAUCUAUCCCCAGUAGGUAAGGGGGGAGGGGUAGGUGGGAGAAGGGUGCUUGAUUUUCAGCUCACGUGGAAGUUGACUCACAGGUAAUGGUUCUCCAGGCCCAAGCUGCAGGUGCUUAUCAAGAGGGCAGGUGAAUAAGCUGCCUGAGACCCUCCAUGGCCGGAGCUCUGGAGCUCUGUUCUCCUUCUGGCCUGCGUUGCAGACGUUUACCAAGAGGGCGGGUGAAUAAGCUGCCUGAAUCCCUCCAUGGCCAGAACUCUCUAGGAUGAGAUUUACUUUAACAGUGAUUUAAUUUGAGGAGUCUGUCAUUCAGGUCACUCUGUGUAACAGGCAGUUUAAUAUGUAGAUCUGAAUUGCAAGGGAGAACUCUAUCAGUAUUUUUUGCAGUUAGUGGUUUAAAAAGAGAGCUUAGGAGAUUACUCAGAAAAUUAUAGAGGAAAGCCUGUGUGACUUCUCUUUCCUGGAUGUUGUAACCUUUCAUGAUGUCUUCCAGGCUGCAGCUGGGCCAGUAUUCCUGUGAACGCCCAUGCUGUGCUCCUUCAGCUCUUUGAGAAUAUUUAUCUCACUGUCUGUACCUAGUUUUUAACCUUCCUUAUUGAACUAUACAUGUCUCAAGGACAAAGACUGUAUCUUAGCACACUGGCACAUAGCAUUUAAUAUAAAAAUAUUAAUUUGGUAAAUAUGAGUCAAGCAAAGAUGGUGGAUAAAUAACAGCAGGCUACAGAGGCUCCCUGAGAUAGUCAACUUAGAAUUCAAUAUAAUACAGUGUGGGGAGUCCCGAACAGAGGGAGAUGAAUUCUCUCGUCCCAAGAAAAACUAAGGUGAGAAGAAGCAAUCAAACAAAGUCCCUGUGCCUACUACUGGAACAGCUAAAGGUUCAGUGCUUCUGCUGCAGUGCCCAAACUCGUGUGGCAGUGACUUACCGAGCCAUCCAAAAUCCUGCCACUUAAAAUCACUGGAAACGCAGUCACUCUGAGGUCGGGGGUCGGCAAGCCAAAUGGAGAACUAAGGUAGCAAGACUUCAGUCAGUUGUUCCCUUCCCGAACGGGAUUGGUGGAAUGAGCUUGGUCUGGGUCAUUCGACCUGGCUGAGACCCAAUAGGUUAUCUGAAAUGAAUUCCCUACAGCAGUGGCACACACUAACACAGUGAAGGCCUCAGCAGGUUGACUGAUCUGAAGGGGAGGGCCCAGCAUAUGCUGCCCCUGUUUGCAACUCACUAGCACACUGCAGUGGGAGGGGUCACCUAGCCACUGUGCUUCAGAAGAGUUGUAACCAACAAAGAAAGAAACUGGGGCCUCCUGGAAGAAACAAAAAAGAUGGGAAGAGGAAGCAACAAGAAAAUGUUCCCAGGUCCCAACCCUGAGAACAUUGACCCAGGACAGGUAAAUACAAAGGAGAAUGAGGACAGCAAACAUGCAGUAUCAGACACAGCACCAGUGGACAUAAAGAGAUAUCUUCAGGACCUCAUAGAUGAGUUAAAAAGGGAAAUAUUUAGCCAAGUAAAGCAAGAUAUAAGAAGAUUAAUAAAAGAGUUGCUAAGCACCCCUCAAGAAGACAGAGAUGGAAGAAUGGAGAAACUCAAACAAAAGAGAACCAUUUGAUGAAGAAUAUAAAGAAAAUAUAGAGUACAUGAAGCAGAUUCAAAAAGAUUACUAGGAAAUUAAAAACUCUAUGGAAAGAUACAAAACUGUUUGAAAGAAACUAAGGAUAGAUUUUCCAAACUGGAGGACAGGUUUGCAGUGUGGGAUUAUGAAAAGAAAAACUUUUUAAAAAUAACAAGGAAACAAGAGGAUCUAUAACUAAAUGUGAAUGAAGAAGCAGGGGUACAAACAAAGGAACUACAAAGGUUAUUCACAGAAAUAAUUAAGGAAAACUUCCCAAACAUAGGAAAAGGAAAUGAUAUUCAGAUAUAUGAGGCAUACAGAACUCUAGCCAGCUACAACCAAAACAGAGCUACAUCCAGGCAUGUAAUAAUCAAAAUCCCAGAAAUUCAAUAUAAGAACAGAAUAUUAAAAGCUGUUAGAGACAAGAAACAGAUCACCUAUAAAGGAAGGCCCAUCAGAAUCACAGCAGACUUCUCGAUACAAACCGUUAAGUCAAGAAAGGCCUGGAGCAAAAUAUUCCAAGCCCUGAAAGAAAAUAACCUCCAGCCCAGAUUGAUAUACCCUGAAAAACUGUCUCUAGAAAUUAAGAAACAAGAGAAACACGAUGCUUCCAAGACAAAGAGGAACUUGGGAAAUUUGCGACCACCAAUCCAGCUCUACAGAGAAUACUGCAUGACAUGCUAGAGAGAGAGAGAAGUACUAGGAUUCCAGGAAGAGUGGCAGAGAGGCCUCAACGAAUGGAGCAGAAAACAGAAUGAAGAAGAAAA